RNAcentral lists this ribosomal RNA (458 nucleotides) under uncultured bacterium. Its description in RNAcentral is "partial 16S ribosomal RNA". It matches the Rfam family "Bacterial small subunit ribosomal RNA", at positions 338 to 795 of the family's 1533-position model. The record is from RNAcentral.
CCUACGGGAGGCAGCAGUGAGGAAUAUUGGUCAAUGGGCGAGAGCCUGAACCAGCCAAGUCGCGUGAGGGAGUACUGCCCUAUGGGUUGUAAACCUCUUUUGUCGGGGAGCAAAAGCCGGACGUGUCCGGCUGUGAGAGUACCCGAAGAAAAAGCAUCGGCUAACUCCGUGCCAGCAGCCGCGGUAAUACGGAGGAUGCGAGCGUUAUUCGGAUUUAUUGGGGUUAAAGGGUGCGCAGGCGGAUUUUUAAGUCAGCGGUCAAAUCGUGGGGCUCAACCCCAUCCAGCCGUUGAAACUGGGGAUCUAGAGUGUGCGAGAGGUAUGCGGAAUGCGUGGUGUAGCGGUGAAAUGCAUAGAUAUCACGCAGAACCCCGAUUGCGAAGGCAGCAUACCGGUGCACAACUGACGCUCAGGCACGAAAGCGUGGGUAUCGAACAGGAUUAGAUACCCUGGUAGUC